UGAUGUGAGGGUAAUCUGGUUGUGACAUCUGUCACCCUAUUGAUGGCUAGAGUUGAUCUGGCUGGCUAGGCAGGGGUCUCCUUCCUUUCUCACUGCUCCAUGUGCCCCCCUCCCGAAGCUGUGCGGUUGCCUGAAGAGCAUGACCUUCCCUGAAUAGAGAAGGACUGGUCUUUGGUCAAGGAUAUACACAUAGCUGUGCUCCCCUACUAGUCCAAACAAGUUCAAGAAUCAAAUUAUCUAAAUAUUAUUACUUUAUCAAGUAUAAUUUUUU
Molecule: small nuclear RNA, 271 nt
Filed under: Jaculus jaculus (lesser Egyptian jerboa)
Lineage: Eukaryota; Metazoa; Chordata; Mammalia; Rodentia; Dipodidae
Description: 7SK RNA (ENSJJAG00000008921.1)
Rfam family: 7SK RNA
About the family: 7SK was discovered as an abundant small nuclear RNA in the mid-70s but a possible function has only recently been suggested. Two independent studies have found that 7SK RNA binds the CDK9/cyclin T complex (known as elongation factor P-TEFb). P-TEFb activates transcription by phosphorylating the C-terminal domain of RNA polymerase II.
Source: Rfam by way of RNAcentral